UCUUCAAGCUGGUUAUUUAUUGACUAAGACUAAAAACUUUUAAGUAGCCUAUAUUGUAAAUAUUUAUCUUUUUUAUUUCUUUACUUUUUUACAAGAAAAUAGAUGACUCGAGUGUUACAAACAAUAGUUUUAAAGGAAUAAUGUAAAAUAAGUUAAUUUUUAUAGGAUAAAAAACGUAAUCAACAUGAUAACUUCAUAACAUUAGUCCUACCAGACACUAACUUAGAUGAUCCUGGAGCAAAGGCUGUAAUUUGACCUGAACCCAAAUUGGUCUUUAUUUUAAAUAUUGUAAGUUAAGAGGACUGACCUUUCUGGACGACAUUGCUAUCGACAUCACUGCAGAUGAGAGAGAGACCAGAGUUGUGUACCCUGGAGGCAAUAAUUGCCAUACUGCUGUGAUAAUGUUCCUUGGUCUAACCAUAACUUAAGUGAGAGCUGUAGCCUACCAGUAGAAUGGCGGCGUUGUAAUUAAUAUCCUCCGACAUUGGAAGGUACAGGGGAGAGGUGCCAGAGGAAGAGGAGAUGGAGGAUGGGGCAAAGUAAAGACGAAGAUUGAAGAGAGCUAACUUAUGGCCUGAUGACAGGGUAGAAGGCGAUGGAGGCAUGGUGGUUGGGGGAGAGGAGGCUGAAGAAGUGGAGACAAAUCAGUUUAGAUUCAUUAUGUUGAUUAGUUUAAUAUUUAUUUGGAAUAUCAGUAUACUUUUAUUUAAUUUUUUUUCUCAUUUAGAUUAUUAAACUAAGAUCAUUUUAUUGUUUUUAUGAAAAUGUUUUCUUAAAUUUUUAAUAUUUGUUUGUACACCAUUUGUUGUUUGUACACAUUUGUUUGUUGUUUGUAUUUGUUUGCCUGGUAAAAAAAUACUGUUUUUUUUAGUAUGUUUGUUAAAAUGAUUACUUUCACUAACUGACCUUGUCUUGGGUGAAAAGAGAUAUCUUGAUAUUUAACUAGCAGGGUGCCUGUUCUAUAGGCGGGGAUCGUAUAAGUCAGUUGAAACCUUCUUAUAUUUUGAUAAGUUGUAAAUUAAUCAUUUUCAACUUUAUAUAGUGUAGAUCGCUUCUCCUGUAUUGAUGUACU
Molecule: long non-coding RNA, 1072 nt
Organism: Macrosteles quadrilineatus (aster leafhopper)
Lineage: Eukaryota; Metazoa; Arthropoda; Insecta; Hemiptera; Cicadellidae
Exons: 4
Source: RefSeq, a predicted model, not a curated record